This is a non-coding RNA of Stegodyphus mimosarum, 73 nucleotides long. NCBI's taxonomy places the organism in Eukaryota, Metazoa, Arthropoda, Arachnida, Araneae, Eresidae. The record is from Rfam.
GCCUUCGUGGUGUAGUGGCCAACAUGCUCGAUGUGUAACCGAGAGGUCCGUGGUUCGAUUCUCGCCGAGGGCA